CUGGCCUCAAACUCAGAGAUCUGCCUGCCUCUGCCUCCCAAGUUUUGGGAUUAAAGGUGAGCACCGUUGCCAGGCUCUGCAUCACUGUGGUUAUAAUAAUAUAUCACACACUAAGCAUUGUGGGUUUGAUGUAGUUUGUCCCUAAAGAAGAGAGAUCUCCAGGAUGGAGAUGCUAAGUAGGACCUUUAAAGAGAUAAGCCCCGAGGAGGACAGUGGUGGUUUCUGCCUGUAAUCUCAGCACUAGAAAGAGGGGAGUGUAUCUCAAAUUCUUAGUCUUUGUGGGAUACAUGGGAAGACCCUUGUUUUGUUUUGUUUUUUAAGUGUAUGUGUGUGUGGAGGGUACCAAUGACUCAAAAAAAACUAAACAAGGAAUCAAAUGAAUCAAACAACCUUCACAAUAAAUAAACUAAUGAAGUAAGUAGACAGUUCUCAAAGGAUGAAAUAGAGGUGGCCAAUAAACAUACAAAAAAAAUAUUCAACUACUCUAGCAAAUCAAAAUGAGUAGAUUCUGUUUCCAGUUGCCAAUAUCACACUGCCACAGACUAGGUACAAUAAAUUUAAAAAGGCUCACUUGGGCUCACCAUCUAAUUCAGGAUGGAAGGUCCACAUCACAUCAUGACCUUUUUAUUAGGGGAGUCCCAAGGUCCCUUGACCUUCCCUUCUUGAAGCAAAGCCAAGAAUAUCCCCACCCUGAUGCCUCAUUGCCCGUAAUCACCUCCCGCAGGCCGCGGAUCUAAAUACAAUAAUAGAAUCAAGCUUUAGUGGGUUUUUUUGUUUGUUUGUUUUUGUUUUUCAAGACAGGAUUUCUCUGUGUGUCCCUGGCUGUCUUAAAACUUGCUUUGUAGACCUGGCUGGCCUUGACCACAGAGAUCUGGUUGCUUUUGCCUCUCUCCAGGGUGCAAGGUGCCACCUCACUUGGCUUGAAUUAAGUUUUUGACUUCUUAGUACCUCUCGCUGGGUGGCGGAGGUCCAUGGAGGCACUGUAGGCAGAGACAGGAGGAUCUCUCUGAGCUCGAGGAUGGCUUGGUCUACAGACCAGGCUCCAGAACAGACAGGGCUACACAGAGAAAUUCUGUGAAAACAAAACAAAAUAAAACAAAACAAAACAAAACAAUGUAACUCUCCAUGUGGAUUAAAUUUCAACAGGAAUUCCCAAGGAACAGUUGGUGAAGUGUGAAGACAGAGACAGAAGGAUCAAGCAUGGAAGGUCAGCGUUAGGAGCAUAGUAAGGCCCAGGCCAGCCUGAAUGAAUGAAACAAAGAAUCCUUGAAGGACAGGUUCAAACCACAUCCAAACCUUAGCAUGCAAUUCAGUGUCUGUUUCCAAGGAGCUUGUCACCUUCCAAAUGAAAUCACAUCAGGUCAGGACGUUCCCAGUACUCUGAUGGAGAUGGCAGAGGAGACAGGUUUUCUCUGUGUAGCCCUGUGUAGUCCUAGAAUGCAUUCUGUAGACCAGACUGACCUACCUGCCACCGCUUCCUGAGUGCUGGUAUCAAAGAUGUAUUCCACCACCACCUGGCUUUCAAUAAACCCAUCUUAAGCUGACCACAGCAAGUUGAAAGAGCUUCGCCUAACCUGCCAAACACAGCGAAGCAACACAGUCCUGCACAUAGCUCACCUCAUAGCAGUGCAGAGAAGAUCCCAUGGCCUGCCACCAGCACCAGUUGAGAUUAAAAUCUGAAAUUCAA
Long non-coding RNA from Mus musculus (house mouse), 1687 nucleotides. RefSeq annotates it as predicted gene, 54286. NCBI's taxonomy places the organism in Eukaryota, Metazoa, Chordata, Mammalia, Rodentia, Muridae. The transcript has 2 exons. The record is from RefSeq and is a predicted model, not a curated record.